Molecule: transfer RNA, 64 nt
Organism: Loxodonta africana (African savanna elephant)
Lineage: Eukaryota; Metazoa; Chordata; Mammalia; Proboscidea; Elephantidae
Rfam family: tRNA
About the family: Transfer RNA (tRNA) molecules are approximately 80 nucleotides in length. Their secondary structure includes four short double-helical elements and three loops (D, anti-codon, and T loops).
Source: Rfam
GCUGGCAUAAUGGUUAAGUGCUAGGCUGCUAACCAAAAAGUUGGUGGUUCAAAUCCACCCAGCC